UACGGCCACCUCACGUUGAAACACCGGCUCCCGUAUGGUCACCAAAGUUGAGCAACGUCGAUCCUGGUCAGUACCUAGAUGGGUGAUUGCUUGGGAAUUCCAGGUGGUGUAA
Molecule: non-coding RNA, 112 nt
Organism: Acanthosepion pharaonis
Lineage: Eukaryota; Metazoa; Mollusca; Cephalopoda; Sepiida; Sepiidae
Source: the annotation of a GenBank genome assembly